This 112-nucleotide ribosomal RNA is filed under the name Caerostris darwini. The record is from RNAcentral. Lineage: Eukaryota; Metazoa; Arthropoda; Arachnida; Araneae; Araneidae.
AACGGCCGUACCAUGCUGAAUAUACCGGUUCUCGUUAGAUCACCGAAGUCAAGCAUCAUUGGGCGCGGUCAGUACUUGGGUGGGUGACCACCUGGGAACAUUGCGAGCCGUU